ACUUGCUGGAUCUCGAAUCUUUUGCUCCCUAGUUGACUACUGAUAUCACUAAUGUUGCUUUCUUUCUUGGUUGGCGUUGGCGUUGGCGUUGCCUUUGGCUUCCUUGGUAUGCACUUGGUGCGUGCUCCCUCUUCCUCCUUUCCUCCCAAUUGCAGCAACUGCGAGCUUCUAUCUGCACUAUAGGAGUUGGACCUCUUCAAAGCGGGGACCUCCUUCUUCUUAGUAUCAAUCAAGCUCCCACUAAAGUACUCCUUGUCUUCUAAUCUUGCCCCUCCAAAAUUCAUUAAAUCCUUGGUUGUUCCCUCCGGGUUCCCUCCUCCACGUGGCAACCUCCCUUUGUAAUGGCGGAUCAACG
RNAcentral lists this unclassified non-coding RNA (355 nucleotides) under Hevea brasiliensis (rubber tree). Lineage: Eukaryota; Viridiplantae; Streptophyta; Magnoliopsida; Malpighiales; Euphorbiaceae. The record is from RNAcentral.